RNAcentral lists this long non-coding RNA (566 nucleotides) under Vitis vinifera (wine grape). Its description in RNAcentral is "long non-coding RNA (VVIN_LNC001975)". The record is from RNAcentral. Lineage: Eukaryota; Viridiplantae; Streptophyta; Magnoliopsida; Vitales; Vitaceae.
CUUUUUGUUAGGAAGCCUAUGCUAAUUAUAUGUUGCUGAAACAUUCUGACUCCAAUAAUUCUCACUGCAUUUCUCUUAAAAUUUUGUUACAGGCAUUAAGGUUUUAGUGAAGUGUGACCGGGUGAAAAAGCUGGCUAUGGCAACCACAGAAGCUGAUGGCUCCUUUAAGACCAAUCUUCCCUCAGACACUCAAACCUCUUCUCCUCCUUUGAACUGCCUUGCUAAACUUCUUGGUGGCCCGAACCAGCUCUAUGCCUUCAGGAAAAACACGGUCUCCAAGAUUGUGAAGGCCCGAGACGAUAGUUCUUACACGAUCUCCACUCCCCUUUCCUUUUCCACCACAUGUCCUUCAUCUGUAAAAGGUGCGAAAUAUGGGGAGUUUGGGUCAUCCAAGACCGUUGAUCUACCUCUACCGCCGGAGUGGGGACUAGCACCAUCUAGCUACUAUAUUCCUUUCUUCCCCAUCAUCGGUAUACCGUAACUAUUGCAGCAUAAUGAGCAGAUCAAGAAGUGAUUACUAAAAUAUAUAUAAAUAUAAAAGUCUUGCUCUAUCAUGUGAUCUUUGU